CCUACGGGUGGCAGCAGUGGGGAAUAUUGGACAAUGGGGGAAACCCUGAUCCAGCGACGCCGCGUGAGUGAAGAAGUAUUUCGGUACGUAAAGCUCUAUCAGCAGGAAAGAAAAUGACGGUACCUGACUAAGAAGCCCCGGCUAACUACGUGCCAGCAGCCGCGGUAAUACGUAGGGGGCAAGCGUUAUCCGGGUUUAUUGGGUUUAAAGGGUGCGCAGGGGGUAUGUAAAGUCAGCGGUCAAACGCCGGGGCUCAAACCCGGCCCGCCGUUGAAACUGGCAGUCUCGAGUUGGAGAGAGGUAUGCGGAAUGCGCGGUGUAGCGGUGAAAUGAAUAGAUAGCGCGCAGAACUCCGAUUGCGAAGGCAGCAUGCCGGCUCCACACUGACGCUGAGGCACGAAAGCGUGGGUAUCGAACAGGAUUAGAUACCCGAGUAGUC
This 439-nucleotide ribosomal RNA is filed under the name uncultured bacterium. RNAcentral's name for it is "partial 16S ribosomal RNA". It matches the Rfam family "Bacterial small subunit ribosomal RNA", at positions 338 to 795 of the family's 1533-position model. The record is from RNAcentral.